Molecule: long non-coding RNA, 301 nt
Filed under: Medicago truncatula (barrel medic)
Lineage: Eukaryota; Viridiplantae; Streptophyta; Magnoliopsida; Fabales; Fabaceae
Description: long non-coding RNA (MTRU_LNC005763)
Source: RNAcentral
AGGAAAUCUAAAACUGAUGGGACAUCUGAGUUAUUGGCAGAAGUUACCUACAACGUAAAGGUUAUUCAUUUCAAGAAAGCACACAAAAUCUGGUGUUGAUACCGAAAUGAUAAAUAACUUAUUUCUAAGUCUGAAUUGAAUUUACACAAUAGCUUAUUGGUCACAUUGUAGACAAGGUCGUGCACUAGGAACAUUCACGUAUCAGAAGUUGGUGCUCAAAAUCUGCAAAGAGAUCAUUCAGUAUAACAACCUUUGCAUCAACUUGAUGAAUAAGAAGUGCAUUGUCGUCCACACUCGCAAC